UACACGCUGUGACUAGCAUAUCAAUAAGCGGAGGAAAAGAAACUAACAAGGAUUCCCCUAGUAACGGCGAGUGAAGCGGGAAGAGCUCAAAUUUGAAAUCUUAAAGGGUUUCCCUUUACGAAUUGUAGUUUAAAGAAGUGUUUUCUGUUGAGGUUUAGGUAAAAGUUCUUUGGAAUAGGACAUCAUAGAGGGUGAGAAUCCCGUAUUUGACCUUUACUUUCAACUUUGUGAUACACUUUCAAGAGUCGGAUUGUUUGGGAAUGCAGUCCAAAAUGGGUGGUAAAUUUCAUCUAAAGCUAAAUAUUGGCGAGAGACCGAUAGCGAACAAGUACCGUGAGGGAAAGAUGAAAAGAACUUUGAAAAGAGAGUUAAACAGUACGUGAAAUUGUCAAAAGGGAAGCGUUUGACACCAGUGUUGUUUUUCUGAAAAUCAAUUAAAGAACUGUUUAUGCUAAGUUGUUUAGACUUUAUCAGCUAACUGUUUAGUUUUGAGCUUUUCUUUAAUGCACUUUUCAGUUAACAAGUCAACAUCAAUUUCUUUUGCUGUAAAAAAGCUUGAGGAAGGUGGCUUGAGAUUCGUCUUAAGUGUUUAUAGCCUCUUGCCUAUGCAGUCGGAGAGAUUGAGGUCUGCAGCGUAGAUCCUUCGGGGCUAAAUGCAUUUGUGCUAAGUUAUAGCAUUUUAUAGACAACUUGUUGACUAUGAUUUGUCUUGUAGCUUACUCGCUUAUGUUAUUUUACCUACGCUUAGGAUGUUGAGUCGUAGAGCACGCAG
RNAcentral lists this ribosomal RNA (772 nucleotides) under uncultured Neocallimastigales. RNAcentral describes it as "partial large subunit ribosomal RNA". It matches the Rfam family "Eukaryotic large subunit ribosomal RNA", at positions 22 to 628 of the family's 3401-position model. The record is from RNAcentral. Lineage: Eukaryota; Fungi; Neocallimastigomycota; Neocallimastigomycetes; Neocallimastigales.